Molecule: long non-coding RNA, 1117 nt
Organism: Alligator mississippiensis (American alligator)
Lineage: Eukaryota; Metazoa; Chordata; Crocodylia; Alligatoridae
Exons: 2
Source: RefSeq, a predicted model, not a curated record
GCUGAGAGAGCAAGUCUGUGACUGAUCAGGAGAGCACCUGACCAGAGGAGGAGCAACUCAGGAGCUAUAAGCCUGAGUUCCUGAUGCAGAAGGGUAGUGCAGUCUUGAACUCUGCAUGAAGAAGAGUUCCUGCCUGUGUAGGUAGGCAGGCGGGGGGGGAAGAGCAGCAGGUCAGAGCAGGUACCCCAGGGGUUCAGAGACAGCUGGAGACUGGGGAAGAGGAUUCUGCAAUGACUUGACUAUUUCAAACAUUGGGAUGGCAUUGCUUACUUUAACUUAACUGGAGGAGAGUUGUAGUUACAGGGUAAGUAUGAAGCCCAGGGAGUGGUGCCUGGCAGGGUACUGAUCCUCAGACAGCUCGGCCUGAGGUCAAGGACUGAGAAGGCUGCAGCCUGGUUCAGGCCAAUAUUGGGAGAGCCAAAGCUAAUGAUAGUGGUGUGGACUAGCCACCUCCUGAGGGCAAGAGACUAAUGUAGUGGGAGACAGUGCACCUGGGGUCAAGCACCCAGUUGGCUCAGGGCUAGGAUAGAGACAAAGUAACUGUAUUGGGGCCAGGGGUCCAAAGAGAAAAUGGCUAAGGUCACAAUAGGAAGGCUGAAGCCAGAAAGGCAGUGCAGUGUGUGGCAGGCUGGAGGGGCUCCUCACGUGGCUCCAAGAUCGCCUACCAGAGGCUGUGGCCAGCAGGAGAAGUACCUGAGAGGUUCCCGGCUCUGCUUCCAGCUCCUCCAGCAAGAGGCCAGGAAGCUUCAUGUGAGGCAGGGGCUCCUGGAAGGUCAAGACCUCUGGCAGUUCAGAGUAGCACUACUACUGGUGGCUGUGUGGUAGUGUUUCUGCCUACCAUGUGGGAGCGCCCAGUUUAAGUCCCAGCUGGAAUGACUUGUGAUAUGUCAAUGAGGAUUUUAAUGCUCAGGGGAAUUAGUUGGGUUCUUCAUUACACUCUUCACCUUCUCCUGCAGAUGGAGUUACCCUGUGAACCCCAAAACUGUUCAGACCCCUCUCUCUACAGAUGCCUAGUGAAGACAGGAUUUAUUUUGAGGACUGAGAUACAUUUCUUUGCAUUUCAUGCCCAGUGUUGCCACAUACAGCCUAUGAGGAGAAUAAACUGGAUUUAAGCCUC